RNAcentral lists this long non-coding RNA (435 nucleotides) under Ricinus communis (castor bean). RNAcentral describes it as "long non-coding RNA (RCOM_LNC002531)". Lineage: Eukaryota; Viridiplantae; Streptophyta; Magnoliopsida; Malpighiales; Euphorbiaceae. The record is from RNAcentral.
UCGCCGCAAAAGUAUUCCUUAUUGUAUUAAAAUUUACACCUUAUCAGAUAAAAGACAUCCCACUAGACACCAUCUAUACUAUGAUUUCUAAACUCUAAAGUCUUUCUCUUCAAUCUCAAAACCAUCAACUUCCUCUUCGUCAAUGGACAAGUUAGCAUAGAACUGUUCUAGAGCGCCUGUUGGAGUGUUUUGAUCCACUAUCCUAACCAAAAAAGUUGACAGCACAAGAAGAAAACAACGAGCAAAACCAAAAAAACAACACUUUGAUGUUUAGCUUUUGCAUUUUAAGAAUGCAAUAAAAUAUGUGAGAAAAUGAAUUUGGCAAACCAGCCCAAAAAGACAGUUUAGCUUUUGCUUUUCAUUAACCCAUCUUGGAUUGAUGUUGCUGUUCAUGCAAUUAGUAAAAAAGAAAGAAAGAAAGGAAAUGGAAAUGCU